UACCCUGGGAACUUCCAUAUGCCCAUAUGCCACAGGUGUGGCUCUAAAAUAAAUAAAUAAAUAAAUAAAUAAAUAAAUAAAUAAUAAAAAUAAGAAAAUAGAAAAAAUUUUACCAAACUCAGCCAGUAUCCAUAUAUGCGAAAGCUCAAAAGAGUAUAUUGAGGAAGCUCAAUGACACAAACAUUUGAUUAAAAAUAAAACAUGGUAUUUAAUAAAUAUUAAAAAAUAAAAUAAAUAAGUAAAUAAAAAUUUAAUACUGGACAUUGUAGGUGAUUCUGUUAUCUUCCUCUAGAGACUAUUUAUGUUUAUCAAGCAAUUAACUUGAGAUGAGCGGCAGCUGCUAUUUCUGCUCAGUUCUUUUGGUUUCCAGUUAUCUUUUUCUGGUUGUUUUCUGCUGGGCUCCUUGGUAGUCUCUGCACAUGCACAGGUCAGGAGUCAGCCAAGGAUUUGAUCAGAUUUUAUAUGCAUUUUUAAGAAGCCUCUGUGUUCUUCUAAACUUGAUUAUCUAGAGUUUCCUAGUGGUUCAGAGGGUUAGGGAUCUGGCGUUGUCACUGCUGUGGCUCUGGUUACUGCUAUGGCACAGAUUCAGAUCCCUGCUCUGGGAACUUCUGUAUGCCGUGGAUGCAGCCAAAACAAAAUAAAAUAAAAUAAACUUGAUUCUCUGACUUGUCAAACCAGUAAGACUAGCAACUUUAUGCUUGAAUUCUGGCCAUCCUAUGCUAGGUGUUCCGGAUAGUACCUUCAGACAAAAUCCUUAUGAUCACAAAUCUUAUCCACGGCACCUCCCUUCUGACCAUGGUUGACUCCCCUCCAGUUUCCUCUUGCUGGUAUUCUCUUCAGUUCCUUCAAAUAAUUGUAUUCUUUUAUUUUGUCCAGAGUCCAUAAUUUUAUAAUACAAUAUAGGCUACUCCACCACUCCUGGAAGCAGAACCUCCAACUUUUGUUUCAAAACACUCCAGUGAGGAUGUUGACUUGUCUGAAAUUUAAAGAAAAGAUCCAAGGUAGAUGUAUGUAUUUGGUAUUCACUGACCUACAGAUGGUAUUUACAGCCAUGAUAAUAGAUGAGACCAUUAAGAGAUGAGCAUAAAUAGAAAGGGGAAACAAGAAUAGAAGAAUAAAGGAAUUCCCGAAGUGGCGUGGUGGGCUAAGGAUCCAGCAUUUCCACAGCUGUGGCAGAGGUCACUACUGGGGUUCAAAACAUCCUGCAGCUGCAGCCAAAAAAAAAAAAAAGGAAUAGAAAAAGUUUUUAAAAAUUGAUUUAAUCCUCAUGAAAUUAACAGUAAUAACAGAUGCUAUUUACUGAACCCUUUGUGGAAGACUUUCCAUGCAUCUUAUUGAAUAUAUCCGACAGCAUCUGCAGCAGACAAGACAUUGAGACUCAGAAGGAAGUGGUUUGCCCGUGGUCACAUAGAAGGUGGAUGAGAAGAGGAAGAAGGAGACUACUGAGAGGGAGCAGACUGUACAGUAGGAGGAAAAUCUUGGUUGAAGUUUUUAGACUCUCAGAGUCCCAGCUUCCACAUCUGUAAAAUGGGAAUAACAGUGACCUUGUUUUUCGUGUGAGAAUUAGAAAUAAUAUAUGUAAAAUCCCCCAAAUAGUGCACCUAGGAAACAUGUAACUAGAGGAUAGUGAUAACACCUAUGAAUGUUAUUUGUUGUGUUUAGCUUUAUUAUUUUAUGCAAAUAGAAUGAAGGUCCCCCUGAUUCCUUACCAGGAGUAGGUGGGCAUAGGGAUGGAAAAGACUGAGAGGAUUAACAAGGAAGAAGACAGACAAGAGAGGGAAGGGCCUUCAGGAUGUUUGUCUAAAGCAGACUUUGGAUUGACCAGCAUCUAAAUAGGAGACAUGGGAGUUCCCGUCGUGGCUGAGUGGUUAACGAGUCUGACUAGGAACCAUGAGGUUGCGGGUUCGAUCCCUGCCCUUGCUCAGUGGGUUAACGAUCCGGCGUUGCCGUGAGCUGUGGUGUAGGUUGCAGACGCGGCUCGGAUCCCGCGUUGCUGUGGCUCUGGUGUAGGCUGGUGGCUACAGCUCCGAUUGGACCCCUAGCCUGGGAAUCUCCAUAUGCCGUGGGAGCGGCCCAAGACCAAGAAAUAGCAAAAUAAAUAAAAAUAAAAAUAAAUAAAUAAAUAAAUAAAUAGGAGACAUGAAAGCUGUUUCCCACUGAAUCUAGGACCCUAUGUGUUUGCAAGACUGAUGAAUGGACUCUCUUGGCUGUGGGCAGCACCUCCAGGUCCCUUCAGGGAUAUGGGCUCAAGCCACACAAGAGGAAGAAAACCUACAGAUUAAGUCAAAAGGUCUUUUCAGAUGCAAAGCCCAGUUCUCAACUCCACUCUCUGCUGCCUCCCAGACCCUGCACGAGAAGCUGCAGACACCAGAGUGGCAAGUGUACCGUGUCAGCUGUGGUGUGAGUGACUGCGAUUAGAUCUCUUGAGGACUUCUGAGGGGAGAUUUAACAUGAAGGAGACCAGCCAGAGGUGGCCAAGGCUUCCUGAUCCUCACUUCAUGCUAGGAAAAGCCCCAAGGUCCAGACCCACAUCUGUGUCCCCAGGAAAUGGCAAGGUAUCCUGCAGCAGGCCCAGCACUGAGUCACUACUUUUCCUGGCUCUUUCAAUCGGACAGGACAGCCUACAGAUUAGGGCCUGGAGCCAGGCUGCCUGGGUCAAAUCCCAGCUCUGCCAUUGAUUAACCAUAUAAUCCUUGAGUCUGUGCCUCAGUUUCCCCAUCUGUACUUGGGAGUAAUGGUAUUUAUGUGAUAGUGUGAGGAUUAAACAAGUUAGUUGCAUGUAGAGUUCCUAGAACUGCGCUGGGCACAUAGUAAGUCCCCGAUGAGUAUCCCUUAUUGUUGUUAUUAUUAUUAUCAGGGUCACAUGUGGAAACAACAUUAAGGAGGAUUCUGGGCACCAGCUCUUCGAUCUAGAACAACUACAAGGAGCACCUCACAAGGUUCGUUCUGCUCCACUGCCAGAAAUUCUCCUUGCACCCUUUCUGGGAAGUAGGCAGGGUGGGUCCUGGCACCCGGUUUUAAUUAUUAGGUGAGAAUCAAGGGUCAGAGGAGCCAGGAAAUUCUUCCUUUGCUCCCCGCACCCUCCAGGGCCUUCUCCCCACACGUGGAGGGGCCUAGCCAGGUCUCUGGGACCCCCUCCCCUCUGUCUUCCCCAGGCAGCCCCCCAGCCCA
Non-coding RNA from Sus scrofa (pig), 3171 nucleotides. Lineage: Eukaryota; Metazoa; Chordata; Mammalia; Artiodactyla; Suidae. The record is from RefSeq and is a predicted model, not a curated record.